This is a long non-coding RNA of Dermacentor andersoni, 387 nucleotides long. RefSeq lists it as uncharacterized. The record is from RefSeq and is a predicted model, not a curated record. NCBI's taxonomy places the organism in Eukaryota, Metazoa, Arthropoda, Arachnida, Ixodida, Ixodidae.
UUCAAAAUAAUUAUCACAGCGGCAUCCUCUGAAGAGAGGAAGCGCUACGAACGUGUGGGGCUAAUAACAUGCAAUACGACAUCUUUCAAAAAACCUAGGACGGCGUUGGUGUCAAAGAGUGGUUCUGGACCAAGUAACAUAACAGGAGGAAGGGGGGAUGUGCUGCCGGUAUGCUAAGAGAAAAUGUUUCUUUCUUUUAGAUUCGGCUUCCCGACACUCCAGUAGGAUGUGGAGGACGGUCAGCCUCUCACCGCAUCUACCACAGGUUGGAGGCUCGUUUCCCCAGCAAGUUUAUCCUUGCAAGGCAUUUGGGGUCAACAACAACUUUCACCAGGACAAAGUGCAAGACAAGGCAUUGAAGAAAAUAAAGUUGCUUCUGUAAUCUAA